AGAGGUUGGACUAGAGACCUCCUGAAGUCCUUUCCAACCUGUAUGAUUCUGUGUUUCAAUGAUAAUUACUGUCUGAAAUACUGUUCUCAUUGUCAGCUUCCCCUGAGGAGUUCAAGCUGACCUCUGCGGAGGGAGUUCUGGCCUCCUCAAGAUUGCUGAACUGAAAGAGCCUUGCAAGGUUUUGAGAAAUGCCUUUCCAAGCGUGCACUUAAGCAUCAGUAUUGUUCAUCUUUAUGAGUAAGACUGGCCUGAAGCUUCCUUUGAAGUUUGCCCAAGAGUAAACUGGGACCUGAGGAAUUUGUAUUAAGCGAAGAGCCCCACCGGGAGUGCUGCGAGUUUCCCCCGUGCCGUCACCCUGCCGUGUGGUUACGCUGGGAAGGCCAUCUCAUGGUGACAGCUCGGUCAUCGGGGACUCGGAGACCACUUGGCUGCUGCAGGAAACUUUAUAAUAGACACAAAUUUCACCGAUAUGCGU
This 475-nucleotide long non-coding RNA is filed under the name Dromaius novaehollandiae (emu). RNAcentral describes it as "lncRNA (ENSDNVG00000003519.1)". Lineage: Eukaryota; Metazoa; Chordata; Aves; Casuariiformes; Dromaiidae. The record is from RNAcentral.